UAAAAUGAAUUAAGGUUUAUGCGGGAUUGCUUGGCAUUUAAAGUUGAUGAAGGGCGUAGUUACUAACGAUAUGCUUUGGGUAGCUAGAAACAAGCGAUGAUCCAAAGAUUCCCGAAUGGGGCAACCUAACGAUUUAACGUUUGGGUAGAAGUGGAUAGUGAAUUAAUGUGAACAACUCGGUGAACUGAAACAUCUUAGUAACCGAAGGAAAAGAAAGCAAUAGCGAUUUUCUUAAUAGCGGCGAGCUAAAAGAAAUGAGCCUAAACCUAAACCUGUGGGGAUGGGUGUAGUGGGUUCCUGUUUAGAUGAUAAGUCGAAUUAACAAAUUUGUUAAUAACAAAAUCAGAGAAGGUUGUAAAUCCUGUUGUUAUUUAUGACUUUAUUGUUGAGGAUAUACCCGAGUAGCAUAGAGCACGUGUAAUUCUGUGUGAAUCAGCGAGGACCACCUCGUAAGGCUAAAUACUCUUAAGUGACCGAUAGUGAACUAGUACCGUGAGGGAAAGCUGAAAAGAAUGCUGAGAAGCAAGUGAAAUAGAAUAUGAAAGCAUAAACUUACAAGCAGUAGGAGGUCGUCUAAAGAAGGACUGACUGCGUGCCUGUUGAAGAAUGAGCCGGCGACUUAUAAGUAGUGGCUUGGUUAAGGUUUUUCCGGAGCCGUAGUGAAAUCGAGUUUAAAAAAGCGUUUUUGUCACUACUUAUAGACCCGAACCCGGGUGAUCUAAUCACGAUCAGGUUGAAGCUUUAGUAAAAUAAAGUGGAGGACCGAACCCACCAAUGUUGAAAAAUUGGGGGAUGAAUUAUGAUUAGGGGAGAAAUUCCAAUCGAACUCGGAGCUAGCUGGAUCUCUUCGAAAUGCGUUGAGGCGCAGCGUUUAAUUAUGGUAGACUUAGGGGUAAAGCACUGUUUCGGUGAGGGCUGUGAGAAUGGUACCGAGCUGUGGCAAACUAUGAAUACUAAGUUUUAUUUCAAUUGGACAGUGAGACAGUGGGGGAUAAGCUUCAUUGUCAAGAGGGAAACAGCCCAGACCACCAUUUAAGGCCCCUAAAUAUUUACUAAGUGAUAAAGGAUGUAAUAUUACAUAGACAACCAGGAGGUUGGCUUAGAAGCAGCCAUCCCUUUAAAAAGUGCGUAAUAGCUUACUGGUCAAGUGAUUUUGCGCCUAAAAUGAAUGGGACUAAGUAAUUUGCCGAAAAUGUGGGAGAAAUCGGUAGAAGAGCGUUCUGCAUCGAUUAGAAGCGGUAGUGUAAACAGCCAGUGGAUCGUCCAGAAGUGAGAAUGUCGGCUUAAGUAACGAAAACAUUGGUGAAAAUCCCAUGCUCCGAAAACCUAAGGGUUCCUUAGCUAGGUUCGUCCACUAAGGGUUAGUCAGGUCCUAAAAUGAGGUUAAACAACGUAAUUUGAUGGGAGACAGGUUAAUAUUCCUGUACCGAUACUCACCAGACAGUGAGUGACGAAAAAGGCUAAGUCUGCCAUAGAUUGGUAAUCUAAGUUGUGGUUAAAUCGUUCGAGACGUUGAGAGAUGUUAUGAGAGAAUGUCUUGAGUUAAGGCGAGAAUAGAAUAGAUGCUACGGCAUUGAAAGUGGCUGAUGUCAUAUUUCCGAGAAAAGCUUUUGUUAGUGAAUUGUGAGAUCGUCUGUACCGUAAACUGACACAGGUGGGUUGGUAGAGUAUACUAAGGAGCGCGAGAUAACUCUUUCUAAGGAACUCGGCAAAAUAACUUCGUAACUUCGGAAGAAGAAGUGCCUCGUAUAGAGGCCGCAGUAAACAGGUCCAAGCGACUGCUUACCAAAAGCACAGGUCUCCGCUAAGUUGAAAAACGAUGUAUGGGGGCUGACGCCUGCCCAGUGCCGGAAGGUUAAAGAAAUUGGUUAACGUGAGUGAAGCUAGUGACUGAAGCCCCGGUGAACGGCGGCAAUAACUAUAAUUGUCCUAAGGUAGCGAAAUUCCUUGUCGGGUAAGUUCCGACCCGCACGAAAGGCGUAACGAUUUGGACGCUGUCUCAGAAAGAGACUCGGUGAAAUAGAAUUGACUGUGAAGAUGCGGUCUACUUGCACUUGGACAGAAAGACCCUAUGAAGCUUUACUGUAACCUGAAAUUGGUUUUGGGUUUUUCUUGCGCAGCAUAGGUGGGAGGCAUUGAUCUUAUCUUUAGGGAAAAAGUGAGCCAAAAUAUGAGAUACCACUCUGGAAAAACUAGAAACCUAAUACUUUGCUCUUAGGCCCGACCAAGAUGAUUGACAGUUUCAGGUGGGCAGUUUUACUGGGGCGGUAGCCUCCUAAAAAGUAACGGAGGCGUACAAAGGUUUUCUCAGUCUAGACGGAAAUUAGUUGUAGAGUAUAAAGACAUAAGAAAGCUUGACUGUGAGACCUAUAAGUCGAGCAGAGACUAAAGUCGGUCUUAGUGACCCGACGGUGCUGAGUGGAAAGGCCGUCGUAAACAGAUAAAAGUUACUCUAGGGAUAACAGGCUGAUCUCCCCCAAGAGUUCACAUCGACGGGGAGGUUUGGCACCUCGAUGUCGGCUCAUCGCAGCCUGGAGCGGUAGUACGUUCCAAGGGUUGGGCUGUUCGCCCAUUAAAGCGGUACGUGAGCUGGGUUCAGAACGUCGAGAGACAGUUCGGUCCAUAUCCGGUGUGAGCGUUAGAGUAUUGAAAGGAGCUUUCCUUAGUACGAGAGGACCGGGAAAGACACACCACUGAUGUACCAGUUUUUGUGCCAACAGAAUACGCUGGGUAGUCACGUGUGGAGAGGAUAACUGCUGAAAGCAUAUAAGUAGGAAGCCCACCUUAAGAUAAGUACUCUUUACUAGAUCACGAUUAGACUAAUCGUUUAUAGGUAUUAGGUGCAAGAUUGGAAACAAUUUUAGCCGAGAUAUACUAACAGAUCGAAAAUUUCUUCCUAUAUCAUAAAAU
Molecule: ribosomal RNA, 2910 nt
Filed under: Euglena agilis
Lineage: Eukaryota; Euglenozoa; Euglenophyceae; Euglenales; Euglenaceae
Description: 23S ribosomal RNA
Rfam family: Bacterial large subunit ribosomal RNA
Source: RNAcentral